This 301-nucleotide ribosomal RNA is filed under the name uncultured bacterium. Its description in RNAcentral is "partial 16S ribosomal RNA". It matches the Rfam family "Bacterial small subunit ribosomal RNA", at positions 509 to 809 of the family's 1533-position model. The record is from RNAcentral.
CAGUAGCCGCGGUAAUACGUAGGUGGCAAGCGUUGUCCGGAUUUAUUGGGCGUAAAGCGAGCGCAGGCGGUUCCUUAAGUCUGAUGUGAAAGCCCACGGCUCAACCGUGGAAGGUCAUUGGAAACUGGGGAACUUGAGUGCAGAAGAGGAGAGUGGAAUUCCAUGUGUAGCGGUGAAAUGCGUAGAUAUAUGGAGGAACACCAGUGGCGAAGGCGACUCUCUGGUCUGUAACUGACGCUGAGGCUCGAAAGCGUGGGGAGCAAACAGGAUUAGAUACCCCAGUAGUCCCUGUCUCUUAUAA